GCUUGUGAAAACCUAAACAAAACCGAUUCAGAUCUCUGUUAUAGUUAUCGGCGCUUGAAAACCUAAACUAAACCUAUCAAACAAAACCGAUUCAGAUCUCUGAAUCUUCGCCACAUCAACCACCAACAAGACCAGAUCUCGAUCUACCAGAAGAACACUGCUUCAGAUUCAAUUUUUCAUCAUAAUUGGAUGCGUAAGUAGGUAAUUGAAGAAGAUAAAUUUAGAUGAGGAAAGAGAUGUGUUUAGAUCAAUCAUCAAUGCUGUGGAGAAUCAAAGAGUUGAGCUUUUUUUUAUAUGGGUAUGGAGGGACCAGGAAGAAAUAUAUGUGGCAGAUUUUAGCGUCUUACAUGUUCGCAAAAGCAGAUUUGCUUGACAGUUGCUUCAUGCGGAAUAACAUCGUUAUUGCUUCCCGGAGGUCGAACAAUACAUUCAAUGUUCAAAAUUCCAAUAUCAACCUUGAAAUCAUCUACAUGUGGCAUAUAACAAAAAAGUGACCGUGUUGAGCUUCUAACAUUGGAUAAAACACUCAAAGAUAUUAUGACUGAAUCAAAAUUUUCAAAUAAAAUAUUUGGAGGAAAGGUUGUUGUUUUCAGUAGUGAUUUUCGGCAAAUUCUUCCAGUUGUAGCCGGGGUUAGCUGUUCUGAUAUAAUUCAUGCCGCUCUUAAUUCUUCAUA
Molecule: long non-coding RNA, 674 nt
Organism: Lathyrus oleraceus (garden pea)
Lineage: Eukaryota; Viridiplantae; Streptophyta; Magnoliopsida; Fabales; Fabaceae
Exons: 2
Source: RefSeq, a predicted model, not a curated record